This 60-nucleotide transfer RNA is filed under the name Crocinitomicaceae bacterium. RNAcentral's name for it is "tRNA-Val". It matches the Rfam family "tRNA", at positions 9 to 63 of the family's 71-position model. Rfam says of the family: Transfer RNA (tRNA) molecules are approximately 80 nucleotides in length. Their secondary structure includes four short double-helical elements and three loops (D, anti-codon, and T loops). Lineage: Bacteria; Pseudomonadati; Bacteroidota; Flavobacteriia; Flavobacteriales; Crocinitomicaceae. The record is from RNAcentral.
AGCUCAGUUGGUUUAGAGCAUCUGCCUUACAAGCAGAGGGUCGGGGGUUCGAAUCCCUCA